This 696-nucleotide ribosomal RNA is filed under the name uncultured bacterium. RNAcentral describes it as "bacterial SSU rRNA". It matches the Rfam family "Bacterial small subunit ribosomal RNA", at positions 32 to 715 of the family's 1533-position model. The record is from RNAcentral.
AACGCUAGCUACAGGCUUAACACAUGCAAGUCGAGGGGAAACGAUAGAGAAAGUUUGCUUUUUCUAGGCGUCGACCGGCGCACGGGUGAGUAACGCGUAUCCAACCUGCCCACCACUUGGGGAUAACCUUGCGAAAGUAAGAUUAAUACCCAAUGACGUCUCUAGAAGACAUCUGAAAGGGAUUAAAGAUUUAUCGGUGAUGGAUGGGGAUGCGUCUGAUUAGCUUGUUGGCGGGGUAACGGCCCACCAAGGCAACGAUCAGUAGGGGUUCUGAGAGGAAGGUCCCCCACAUUGGAACUGAGACACGGUCCAAACUCCUACGGGAGGCAGCAGUGAGGAAUAUUGGUCAAUGGGCGAGAGCCUGAACCAGCCAAGUAGCGUGCAGGAUGACGGCCCUAUGGGUUGUAAACUGCUUUUAUAAGGGAAUAAAGUGAGCCUCGUGAGGCUUUCUGCAUGUACCUUAUGAAUAAGGACCGGCUAAUUCCGUGCCAGCAGCCGCGGUAAUACGGAAGGUCCGGGCGUUAUCCGGAUUUAUUGGGUUUAAAGGGAGCGUAGGCCGGCUUUUAAGCGUGUUGUGAAAUUCCGUCGCUCAACGGCGGACGUGCGGCGCGAACUGGUCCACUUGAGUGCGCGGGAGGUAGGCGGAAUUCGUGGUGUAGCGGUGAAAUGCUUAGAUAUCACGAAGAACUCCGAUUG